UACGUAGGGGACGAGCGUUGUCCGGAAUCAUUGGGCGUAAAGAGCGUGUAGGUGGCUUGGAAAGUCUUACGUGAAAGCCUGCGGCUCAACCGCAGAAGUGCGUGGGAAACUUCCUCGCUAGAGUCCGGAAGAGGAGAGCGGAAUUCCUGGUGUAGCGGUGGAAUGCGCAGAUAUCAGGAGGAACACCCGUGGCGAAGGCGGCUCUCUGGGACGGUACUGACACUGAGACGCGAAAGCGUGGGGAGCGAACAGG
This 253-nucleotide ribosomal RNA is filed under the name uncultured bacterium. Its description in RNAcentral is "partial 16S ribosomal RNA". It matches the Rfam family "Bacterial small subunit ribosomal RNA", at positions 524 to 776 of the family's 1533-position model. The record is from RNAcentral.